GACGAACGCUGGCGGCGUGCUUAACACAUGCAAGUCGAACGGAAAGGCCCUGCUUUUGUGGGGUGCGCGAGUGGCGAACGGGUGAGUAACACGUGAGUAACCUGCCCUUGACUUUGGGAUAACUUCAGGAAACUGGGGCUAAUACCGGAUAGGAGCUCCUGCUUCAUGGUGGGGGUUGGAAAGUUUCGGCGGUUGGGGAUGGACUCGCGGCUUAUCAGCUUGUUGGUGGGGUAGUGGCUUACCAAGGCUUUGACGGGUAGCCGGCCUGAGAGGGUGACCGGCCACAUUGGGCCUGAGAUACGGCCCAGACUCCUACGGGAGGCAGCAGUGGGGAAUAUUGCACAAUGGGCGGAAGCCUGAUGCAGCACCGCCGCGUGCGGGAUGACGGCCUUCGGGUUGUAAACCGCUUUCGCCUGUGACGAAGCGUGAGUGACGGUAAUGGGUAAAGAAGCACCGGCUAACUACGUG
Molecule: ribosomal RNA, 468 nt
Filed under: uncultured bacterium
Lineage: Bacteria
Description: partial 16S ribosomal RNA
Rfam family: Bacterial small subunit ribosomal RNA
Source: RNAcentral